GACGAACGCUGGCGGCGUGCUUAACACAUGCAAGUCGAACGGUGAAGGGACCAGCUUGCUGGUUCUGGAUGAGUGGCGAACGGGUGAGUAACACGUGAGUAACCUGCCCCCUUCUUCUGGAUAACCGCAUGAAAGUGUGGCUAAUACGGGAUAUUCUGGGUCUGUCGCAUGGCGGGCCCGGGAAAGAUAUUGCUUCGGUGGGGGAUGGGCUCGCGGCCUAUCAGCUUGGUGGUGGGGUGAUGGCCUACCAAGGCGGUGACGGGUAGCCGGCCUGAGAGGGUGGACGGUCACACUGGGACUGAGACACGGCCCAGACUCCUACGGGAGGCAGCAGUGGGGAAUAUUGCACAAUGGGCGCAAGCCUGAUGCAGCGACGCCGCGUGAGGGAUGGAGGCCUUCGGGUUGUAAACCUCUUUCGCCAGUGAAGCAGGCCUGCUCCUUGUGGGUGGGUUGACGGCAGCUGGAUAAGAAGCGCCGGCUAACUACGUG
RNAcentral lists this ribosomal RNA (489 nucleotides) under uncultured bacterium. RNAcentral's name for it is "partial 16S ribosomal RNA". It matches the Rfam family "Bacterial small subunit ribosomal RNA", at positions 28 to 507 of the family's 1533-position model. The record is from RNAcentral.